RNAcentral lists this ribosomal RNA (378 nucleotides) under uncultured archaeon. RNAcentral's name for it is "bacterial SSU rRNA". It matches the Rfam family "Archaeal small subunit ribosomal RNA", at positions 691 to 1069 of the family's 1478-position model. The record is from RNAcentral.
CCGACGGUGAGGGGUGAAGCCCUGGGGCGCAAACGGGAUUAGAUACCCCGGUAGUCCAGGGUGUAAACGCUGCGGGCUUGGUGUUGGGGGUCCUUUGAGGGCGCCCAGUGCCGGAGAGAAGUUGUUAAGCCUGCUGCUUGGGGAGUACGUCCGCAAGGAUGAAACUUAAAGGAAUUGGCGGGGAGCACCGCAACGGGAGGAGCGUGCGGUUCAAUUGGAUUCAACGCCGGACAACUCACCAGGAGCGACGGUUACAUGAAGGCCAGGCUGAUGACCUUGCCUGAUUUUCCGAGAGGUGGUGCAUGGCCGUCGUCAGUUCGUACCGUAAGGCGUUCUCUUAAGUGAGAUAACGAACGAGACCCUCGCCGCUAAUUGCUA